Molecule: transfer RNA, 76 nt
Filed under: Spirochaetia bacterium
Lineage: Bacteria; Pseudomonadati; Spirochaetota; Spirochaetia
Description: tRNA-Val
Rfam family: tRNA
About the family: Transfer RNA (tRNA) molecules are approximately 80 nucleotides in length. Their secondary structure includes four short double-helical elements and three loops (D, anti-codon, and T loops). Further hydrogen bonds mediate the characteristic L-shaped molecular structure. tRNAs have two regions of fundamental functional importance: the anti-codon, which is responsible for specific mRNA codon recognition, and the 3' end, to which the tRNAs corresponding amino acid is attached (by aminoacyl-tRNA synthetases). tRNAs cope with the degeneracy of the genetic code in two manners: having more than one tRNA (with a specific anti-codon) for a particular amino acid; and 'wobble' base-pairing, i.e. permitting non-standard base-pairing at the 3rd anti-codon position.
Source: RNAcentral
UGGGCGGUUAGCUCAGUUGGUUAGAGCAUCAGUAUGACACGCUGAGGGUCACAAGUUCGACUCUUGUAUCGCCCAG